UACGGGGGGAGCAAGCGUUGUUCGGAUUUACUGGGCGUAAAGGGCGCGUAGGCGGCGUGACAAGUCACUUGUGAAAUCUCCGGGCUUAACUCGGAACGGUCAAGUGAUACUGUCGUGCUAGAGUACAGAAGGGGCAACUGGAAUUCUCGGUGUAGCGGUGAAAUGCGUAGAUAUCGAGAGGAACACCUGCGGCGAAGGCGGGUUGCUGGGCUGAUACUGACGCUGAGGCGCGAAAGCCAGGGGAGCGAACAGG
RNAcentral lists this ribosomal RNA (253 nucleotides) under uncultured bacterium. Its description in RNAcentral is "partial 16S ribosomal RNA". It matches the Rfam family "Bacterial small subunit ribosomal RNA", at positions 524 to 776 of the family's 1533-position model. The record is from RNAcentral.